Molecule: ribosomal RNA, 229 nt
Filed under: uncultured bacterium
Lineage: Bacteria
Description: partial 16S ribosomal RNA
Rfam family: Bacterial small subunit ribosomal RNA
Source: RNAcentral
AGCGUAGGCGGAAGUGCAAGUUAGAAGUGUAAUCUAUAGGCUCAACCUGUAGCUUGCUUUUAAUACUGCUCUUCUUGAGUAUGGAAGAGGGAGAUGGAAUUCCAGGUGUAGCGGUGGAAUGCGUAGAUAUCUGGAAGAACACCAGUAGCGAAGGCGGUCUCCUGGUCCAAUACUGACGCUGAGGCUCGAAAGCUAGGGGAGCAAACAGGAUUAGAUACCCUGGUAGUCC